CUUGGGGUGGGGGGGGCCGUCCCUCAGUCCAGAUUGCAAGAGGGCAUAGUCCAGGCCGAGGGACCCCACCGGUGCAUG
Non-coding RNA from Myotis davidii, 78 nucleotides. The record is from Rfam. NCBI's taxonomy places the organism in Eukaryota, Metazoa, Chordata, Mammalia, Chiroptera, Vespertilionidae.